RNAcentral lists this ribosomal RNA (253 nucleotides) under uncultured bacterium. RNAcentral's name for it is "partial 16S ribosomal RNA". It matches the Rfam family "Bacterial small subunit ribosomal RNA", at positions 524 to 776 of the family's 1533-position model. The record is from RNAcentral.
UACAGAGGGGGCAAGCGUUAUUCGGAAUUAUUGGGCGUAAAGGGCGCGUAGGCGGCGAUUCAAGUGGCGGGUGAAAUCCCUCGGCUUAACCGAGGAACUGCCUGCCAGACUGGAUUGCUUGAGUGCGGGAGAGGUGAGUGGAAUUCCCAGUGUAGCGGUGAAAUGCGUAGAUAUUGGGAGGAACACCAGUGGCGAAGGCGGCUCACUGGACCGGAACUGACGCUGAGGCGCGAAAGCGUGGGGAGCAAACAGG